Molecule: ribosomal RNA, 414 nt
Filed under: uncultured microorganism
Description: bacterial SSU rRNA
Rfam family: Archaeal small subunit ribosomal RNA
Source: RNAcentral
CAGCAGCCGCGGUAAUACCGGCGGCCCGAGUGGCGGCCACUAUUAUUGGGCCUAAAGCGUCCGUAGCCGGGCUGGUAAGUCCUCCGGGAAAUCUGGUCGCUUAACGAUCAGACUUCCGGAGGAUACUGCUGGCCUAGGGACCGGGAGAGGCCGAGGGUAUUCCCGGGGUAGGGGUGAAAUCCUGUAAUCCCGGGAGGACCACCUGUGGCGAAGGCGCUCGGCUGGAACGGGUCCGACGGUGAGGGACGAAGGCCAGGGGAGCGAACCGGAUUAGAUACCCGGGUAGUCCUGGCUGUAAACGAUGCGGACUUUGUGUCGGACAAGCUAUGAGCUUGUCCGGUGCCGGAGGGAAACCGUUAAGUCCGCCGCCUGGGGAGUACGGCCGCAAGGCUGAAACUUAAAGGAAUUGGCGGG